RNAcentral lists this ribosomal RNA (1107 nucleotides) under Triticum aestivum (bread wheat). Its description in RNAcentral is "partial small subunit ribosomal RNA". Lineage: Eukaryota; Viridiplantae; Streptophyta; Magnoliopsida; Poales; Poaceae. The record is from RNAcentral.
AUGGCCGCUAUCCAACCCUUGAGCCCUUUCUCUAGAAGUUCCAAAUUCGUGGGCUCGGAUUCAACUAUCGUCCCUGCCCGAAUCCUGCCCAGACCCCGGGGAGUCACUCGUAGUGCCAUGGCGUCGCCUACCGGCAGCAGCCGCUCCUCCAAAAUCCCGGAGUUCCUGGCGGGUUCCGGCGGCCGGCCGGUGCCGGCCCUGGGGAUCGGCACGGCGUCGUUCCCGUUCGUGGCAGAGGACGUCAAGAACGCCGUGCUCGCCGCGUUGGAGCUCGGCUACCGCCACCUCGACACAGCCUCGGUUUACCCCUCCGAGCACCUCGUCGGCGAGGCAGUGGCGGAGGCGGGGCGGCGCGGGGUCAUAGCGUCCCGCGAGGAGGUGUUCGUGACGACCAAGGUGUGGUGCACGCAAUGCCACCCGGAUCUCGUGCUCCCUUCCCUCAAGGAAAGCUUGCAAAACCUUCAAAUGGAAUAUGUUGAUUUGUACUUGGUCCACUGGCCUAUGAGCGUAAAGCCCAGCAAACCACACUUCCCAAUGAAAAGGGAAGACAUCGUCCAGAUGGACUUGAAAGGCGUAUGGCAGGCAAUGGAGGAAUGUCAUCGCCUUGGCCUUGCUAAGAUGAUUGGCGUUAGCAAUUUCACAACGAAGAAAUUGCAGGAGCUACUUGCAAUUGCAGAAAUCCCCCCAGCAGUGAAUCAGGUUGAGUUGAAUCCAGCUUGGCAGCAGAAAAAACUGAUUGAAUUCUGCAAAGAGAAGGGAAUUCAUGUGACUGCUUAUUCUCCCCUGGGAGGCCAAAGCAGGACAUCCAAAGUCAAUGCAGUGCUACAGUCUGAAAUUCUGAAAGAGAUUGCCGAAGCUAGAGGAAAAUCAGUAGCUCAGAUCUCACUGAGAUGGAUCUUCGAGCAAGGAGCGAGCAUGGUAGCCAAGAGCAUGAAAAAGGAGAGGCUUCAGGAGAACCUCGAAAUCUUUGACUGGGAACUGACCGACGAAGACCGGUUCAAGAUUACUCGGAUACCGCAGUACAAGAAGGUCACAGUGCUGGCGAUCCUCUGCCCUGAAGGUGUCCCUGGCGUUGAUCUUUCGGAGGUUGAUGUUGUUGAAACGUAG